UACGGGGGGGGCAAGCGUUGUUCGGAAUUACUGGGCGUAAAGGGCUCGUAGGUGGCCAACUAAGUCAGACGUGAAAUCCCCAGGCUCAACUUGGGAACUGCGUCGGAUACUGGAUGGCUUGAAUUCGGGAGAGGGAUGCAGAAUUCCAGGUGUAGCGGUGAAAUGCGUAGAUAUCUGGAGGAAUACCGGUGGCGAAGGCGGGUCUCUGGGCCGUAACUGACGCUAAGGAGCGAAAGCAUGGGGAGCGAACAGG
This 253-nucleotide ribosomal RNA is filed under the name uncultured bacterium. Its description in RNAcentral is "partial 16S ribosomal RNA". It matches the Rfam family "Bacterial small subunit ribosomal RNA", at positions 524 to 776 of the family's 1533-position model. The record is from RNAcentral.